UACAGAGGUCUCAAGCGUUGUUCGGAUUCAUUGGGCGUAAAGGGUGCGUAGGUGGCGCCGUAAGUCGGGUGUGAAAUUUCGGAGCUUAACUCCGAAACUGCAUUCGAUACUGCGGUGCUUGAGGACUGGAGAGGAGACUGGAAUUCAUGGUGUAGCAGUGAAAUGCGUAGAGAUCAUGAGGAAGACCAGUGGCGAAGGCGGGUCUCUGGACAGUUCCUGACACUGAGGCACGAAAGCCAGGGGAGCAAACGGG
RNAcentral lists this ribosomal RNA (253 nucleotides) under uncultured bacterium. RNAcentral describes it as "partial 16S ribosomal RNA". It matches the Rfam family "Bacterial small subunit ribosomal RNA", at positions 524 to 776 of the family's 1533-position model. The record is from RNAcentral.